GUACUCUGGUUUCUUUUAAGAUCAUAUGAGUCUUUUGCCUUUUACUAAAGAUUUCUAUGGAGAGGAAAAAUUCUGGGGAAAAACAAACAAAUGUGUAUUUAACCAUGAGUGGUGAUU
Ictidomys tridecemlineatus (thirteen-lined ground squirrel) is the source of this 117-nucleotide non-coding RNA. Lineage: Eukaryota; Metazoa; Chordata; Mammalia; Rodentia; Sciuridae. The record is from Rfam.